Molecule: unclassified non-coding RNA, 284 nt
Organism: Ictidomys tridecemlineatus (thirteen-lined ground squirrel)
Lineage: Eukaryota; Metazoa; Chordata; Mammalia; Rodentia; Sciuridae
Gene: 7SK
Rfam family: 7SK RNA
About the family: 7SK was discovered as an abundant small nuclear RNA in the mid-70s but a possible function has only recently been suggested. Two independent studies have found that 7SK RNA binds the CDK9/cyclin T complex (known as elongation factor P-TEFb). P-TEFb activates transcription by phosphorylating the C-terminal domain of RNA polymerase II.
Source: Ensembl
AGAAUAGAAUAACUGGGUCAAAUGGUGGUUCCAUUCCAUGUUUUCUAAGAAAUCUCCAUACUGCUUUCCAGAGUGAUUGCACCAAAUAUGAGGGCAAUCCAGCUGCAAAAUCUAUCACCCCAUUAGGACCACCUUCCCCAGCAGAGGAGGACCAUUCUUUGGUCAAGUGUAUACAAGUAGCUGCACUUUCCUGCUAGAACCUCCAAACAAGCUCUCAAGGCCCAAAGUGGUUGCACCAAUUUGCAGUUCCACCAGCAAUGUAUGAGCAUACCUUUUUUUUCCAU